Lathyrus oleraceus (garden pea) is the source of this 2026-nucleotide long non-coding RNA. RefSeq lists it as uncharacterized. The transcript is spliced from 4 exons. The record is from RefSeq and is a predicted model, not a curated record. Lineage: Eukaryota; Viridiplantae; Streptophyta; Magnoliopsida; Fabales; Fabaceae.
CAUUUAAAUUAAGUCGAUUAAAAGAAAAAUAAACAUGUUUUCAUAAUAAUAGCACUAUGCAACAAAGAAGAAUGGGCCUUGUAAUGAAGUGGGCCGAAACUCAGGAAAGCCCAAGUGGGCGAAAUCCUCCUCGGUUCCACUAGGGAACUUGAGUUGGAUCCUAAAAAGUCCUCCCACAUGGGAGAAGUCCAACGGUCGUAUGCAGAAAAAGGUGGCUACCAAAGAAAGCAAUUAUUGGUGCUGAUGGAAAGAUGAAACGGCAACAAGCGUUGGACAGUGGGAAAGAAAAACUGCAUUAAUGACCAUUACUCAAAAACAAAAACAAGACUAACUCAUGAUUUCGCAGAUCAAAGCAUCCAUCCUCUUCUUAAAACUUCUCUCUCUCUCUCUCUCUCUCUCUCUCUCUCGAAAACGCCUAGCAUAGCUCAGAAACAGAUCAAAGAAAACCAAAAUCACUUUUCUUAAUCAAAAGCCAAACCCAUUUCAGAAAUGAAGGAUAGGAUUUUCACUCAAACCUUGCCGAGUGCCCAAACCCUAAUCACCAACGAAACCCCCCAAAUGCCAAACGAAAAAAAAAAACACCAUGGAUCAACCUCAAAUACAAACAACUCUCGCAUGGGAAGAAACAGUUAAAGAUACGUUCGUAAAUUCAAAUACGAAGUAAUGAAAGAGGCGAGAAAUUACCAAGUCGAUAUGUUUCGGAGGUGAGCGACUAGGGUCUUAGCUCGGAUUACUCAAAGUUCUAAGGAUAAACUUUGAGCACCCAUUUGAUAUCUUUGAUCUUUGGUGCGGUUUGUGAUAGGAUUUCGACAGGGUAACAGUGCAAAAAUCCCAUUUUCUAAUGAUUGGAUCGCCUCUUUAUAUAGAGUGAAAAUGAGUGGCAAAAUCCAUGAGCUGUCAAGAGAUCAUGAGAAUCAUUCCGUUGGAAGGAAAAUUCUCCUUAGAUUUGUGGUCCCUGAAUGAGGUCUGAUUAACUGAUGCAAUGAAAAACAUUUAUUCACAGGCCAUUUGCACCACUGUGAAUGAUGAACUGAGAUGACAGUAAUUUUGGUCAGUUUGGUUAUGUGAUUAGAGAAAUGGUAAGUGACUUGCACACUUGGAAAUGGCUUCAAUGCAAGUGACACGUUGCGGAUAGUUUGAGAGAAGUCACUAAAGUUUGGGCCCCCCAACUCGUUGUGAAAAUCAACUGGAUAUGUUGAUGCCUCUCAGGAAUCAGAGUUUCCUCUUUUCGACCUCUCCAACCAUUUGCCAUUGAGUUGUUGUGACUUUGCAGGGACACUUGCUGCUGCUUGAUUGUGUACUAAGGCAGAUCUCAUCUCCCUAACGCCUCGAGCUCGAAUGACCGGAGUUAAUGGGUACUUAAACAUUCAACGUCAUUGUGAACUAUCAUUUUCCAAAACCAGGAAUAACACUGCAAGAUACUUUACCGUAUGCGAUUCUGUAGGAUGCUCAUAAUGCAGAAAAACAACAUUCAGCAUUAGUACGCCGAAUUAUGUAUCUGUCCUCAUUAGCUUCCUUUCAUGAAACUGCAGGUAUUUGGUGUGCGUUGGUAGUGUUGGUUUGAUACUGGCUGAAUAUGCUGCUCAUGCUGCAGUUUGAUGAUCACCGUUUUGCAGGGCACGGGAUUUACGGUGUGGAAGGCCAUGGCAUGCUGCAAGUAUAAUGCAUUUGGCUUGGAUGAUGAUGCAGGCUGGACUGUUGAAGAUGUUCCUUGGGGUAACAGAGUUGCUUUGGAUGGUUUAGAUCAAUUUAUCACCAAGAAUGCCACUUUGACAAAUGAGAAAGAAGUCGAUGCACACCCUAUUCGUGCUAUGAAGUUUUUUGUCGUCUGUUGUGUGUUGAUGUUCAGUGCAAGGUGGAUUUAGAUCUUUCAAAGCUUGUUGAAGGUCUCAAGCGUCUUCCUAAGUCAGAUCCUAUGGUUGUUUGAUAUGCUAUGACUUUGCUAGCUAUUCUAAAAAAUCAAUUUGUAAUUAGCAUGAUACAAAUAACAUUUCUGAUUUUGAAUGUGAACUCUUCUUUUUAAAUU